AACGAACGCUGGCGGCAUGCCUAACACAUGCAAGUCGAACGAGACCUUCGGGUCUAGUGGCGCACGUGUGCGUAAAGCGUGGGACCCUGCCCUUAGGUUCGGAAUACCUCCCCGAAAGGGGUGCUAAUACCGGAUAAUGUCCUCGGACCAAAGAUUUAUCGCCAUUGGCUGGGCCCGCGUUCGAUUAGCUAGUUGGUAGGGUAAAAGCCUAUCACGGAGACGAUCCAUAGCUGGUCGGAGAGGAAGAUCAGCCACACUGGGACUGAGACACGGCCCAGACUCGUACGGAACGCUGCAGUGGGGAAUAUUGCACAACGGGCGAAAGCCUGAUCCAGCAAUGCCGCGUGAGUGAUGAAGGCCUUAGGGUUGUAAAGCGCUUUUAUCCGGGACGAUAAUGACAGUACCGGGAGAAUAAGCCCCGGCUAACUCCGUG
This 433-nucleotide ribosomal RNA is filed under the name uncultured bacterium. Its description in RNAcentral is "partial 16S ribosomal RNA". It matches the Rfam family "Bacterial small subunit ribosomal RNA", at positions 29 to 507 of the family's 1533-position model. The record is from RNAcentral.